CGCAGCCGCGGUAAUUCCAGCUCCAAUAGCGUAUAUUAAAGUUGCUGCAGUUAAAAAGCUCGUAGUUGAAUUUCGGGACUAAUAUGUCGGUCGUGCCUCGGUACGUACUGGUAUUUUUGGUUUCUCCCUUCUGACGAACCUUGAUGUCAUUAAUUUGGUGUCUUGGGAAAUCAGGACUGUUACUUUGAAAAAAUUAGAGUGUUUAAAGCAGGCUCACGCUUGAAUACAUUAGCAUGGAAUAAUGAAAUAGGACGUUUGAUUCUAUUUUGUUGGUUUCUAGGAUCGACGUAAUGAUUAAUAGGGAUAGUUGGGGGCAUUAGUAUUCAAUUGUCAGAGGUGAAAUUCUUGGAUUUAUUGAAGACUAACUACUGCGAAAGCAUUUGCCAAGGAUGUUUUCAUUAAUCAAGAACGAAAGUUAGGGGAUCGAAGACGAUCAGAUACCGUCGUAGUCUUAACCAUAAACCAUGCCGACUAGGGAUCGGAUGAUGUUAAUUUUUUAAUGACUCAUUCGGCGCCUUAC
RNAcentral lists this ribosomal RNA (520 nucleotides) under uncultured Glomus. RNAcentral describes it as "SSU rRNA". It matches the Rfam family "Eukaryotic small subunit ribosomal RNA", at positions 569 to 1091 of the family's 1831-position model. The record is from RNAcentral. Lineage: Eukaryota; Fungi; Glomeromycota; Glomeromycetes; Glomerales; Glomeraceae.